RNAcentral lists this long non-coding RNA (257 nucleotides) under Lathyrus oleraceus (garden pea). RNAcentral describes it as "Pisum sativum (pea) long non-coding RNA (PSAT_LNC017459)". Lineage: Eukaryota; Viridiplantae; Streptophyta; Magnoliopsida; Fabales; Fabaceae. The record is from RNAcentral.
UUUUAGGUUUUUUGUUGUUACUUAUUUUUUUUCUUUUAAAAAAAAAUACAUAUCAAUUAAUUAAUCAAGUUUUAGUUAUAAGGUUAAGCUAAAAUUUUAAUUAUGCUAAUAAUAAAAUUUAGUUUUCAUUAAUCAAUAAAAGUAAUAAAAUUAGUUAAUUAAUGUAAUUUUAUUUUAGUUAAUUGAUUCACCCUUUGUUAAUCCUUUUUACUAUGAUCAUUAUCCAUGUAUGUUCAUUCAAUUUCACUCAUUCAAAU